UCCAGACUCCUACGGGAGGCAGCAGUGGGGGAUAUUGCACAAUGGGGGGAACCCUGAUGCAGCGACGCCGCGUGGGUGAAGGAGCGUUUCGGCGCGUAAAGCCCUAUCGGCAGGGAAGAAGGAGGACGGUACCUGACUAAGAAGCCCCGGAUAACUACGUGCCAGCAGCCGCGGUAAUACGUAGGGGGCAAGCGUUAUCCGGAUUUACUGGGUGUAAAGGGAGCGUAGACGGCGGUGCAAGCCAGAUGUGAAAGCCCGGGGCUCAACCCCGGGACUGCAUUUGGAACUGUGCUGCUAGAGUGUCGGAGAGGCAGGCGGAAUUCCUAGUGUAGCGGUGAAAUGCGUAGAUAUUAGGAGGAACACCAGUGGCGAAGGCGGCCUGCUGGACGAUGACUGACGUUGAGGCUCGAAAGCGUGGGGAGCGAACAGGAUUAGAUACCCCGGUAUU
RNAcentral lists this ribosomal RNA (448 nucleotides) under uncultured bacterium. RNAcentral describes it as "partial 16S ribosomal RNA". It matches the Rfam family "Bacterial small subunit ribosomal RNA", at positions 330 to 794 of the family's 1533-position model. The record is from RNAcentral.